GUAACGCGUGGAUAACCUGCCUCACACAGGCCGUUAACAGUUAGAAAUGACUGCUAAUACCGCAUAAGCGCACGGUACCGCAUGGUACAGUGUGAAAAACUCCGGUGGUGUGAGAUGGAUCCGCGUCUGAUUAGGUAGUUGGUGAGGUAACGGCCCACCAAGCCGACGAUCAGUAGCCGACCUGAGAGGGUGACCGGCCACAUUGGGACUGAGACACGGCCCAAACUCCUACGGGAGGCAGCAGUGGGGAAUAUUGCACAAUGGGCGAAAGCCUGAUGCAGCAACGCCGCGUGAGUGAAGAAGUAUCUCGGUAUGUAAAGCUCUAUCAGCAGGGAAGAAAAUGACGGUACCUGACUAAGAAGCCCCGGCUAACUACGUGCCAGCAGCCGCGGUAAUACGUAGGGGGCAAGCGUUAUCCGGAUUUACUGGGUGUGAAGGGAGCGCAGACGGCACUGCAAGUCUGAAGUGAAAGCCCGGGGCUCAACCCCGGGACUGCUUUGGAAACUGUAGAGCUAGAGUGCUGGAGAGGCAAGCGGAAUUCCUAGUGUAGCGGUGAAAUGCGUAGAUAUUAGGAAGAACACCAGUGGCGAAGGCGGCUUGCUGGACAGUAACUGACGUUCAGG
RNAcentral lists this ribosomal RNA (623 nucleotides) under uncultured bacterium. RNAcentral's name for it is "bacterial SSU rRNA". It matches the Rfam family "Bacterial small subunit ribosomal RNA", at positions 110 to 751 of the family's 1533-position model. The record is from RNAcentral.